GUGCAUAUCAGUAGACCUCACCUUGCUGUGUCUUGGCUUUGGUGAGGGGGACAGCAUAUGCCAGAGGAAAUGUGGAGUGACUGUCAGAUGCAGCCAGCAGAAUAAGUGGUUUGGCUGAACUGUCUUACUCCCACAUCC
Molecule: small nucleolar RNA, 138 nt
Organism: Bubalus bubalis (water buffalo)
Lineage: Eukaryota; Metazoa; Chordata; Mammalia; Artiodactyla; Bovidae
Product: small nucleolar RNA SNORA58
Exons: 1
Source: RefSeq, a predicted model, not a curated record